RNAcentral lists this ribosomal RNA (203 nucleotides) under uncultured bacterium. Its description in RNAcentral is "partial 16S ribosomal RNA". It matches the Rfam family "Bacterial small subunit ribosomal RNA", at positions 1298 to 1500 of the family's 1533-position model. The record is from RNAcentral.
UUGCAGUCUGCAACUCGACUGCAUGAAGUCGGAAUCGCUAGUAAUCGCGGAUCAGCAUGCCGCGGUGAAUACGUUCCCGGGCCUUGUACACACCGCCCGUCACACCAUGAGAGUCGGGAACACCCGAAGUCCGUAGCCUAACCGCAAGGGGGGCGCGGCCGAAGGUGGGUUCGAUAAUUGGGGUGAAGUCGUAACAAGGUACC